Molecule: long non-coding RNA, 4553 nt
Organism: Brassica napus (rape)
Lineage: Eukaryota; Viridiplantae; Streptophyta; Magnoliopsida; Brassicales; Brassicaceae
Exons: 2
Source: RefSeq, a predicted model, not a curated record
UUAAUAUUAUUAGUAAAAAUUCGUUUGUAGUUAUAUAAUUAAUUACAUAUAAAAUUCAUUAAAGGUGACAAUGACUUUAACUGCUUAAUUAUUAUAAAUAGUUUUAUAUCUUAUUUUAAAUUUUAUAACUGAAAAAUAUGUUUUAAGAUAACAACACAAUGUAAAAAUUAUCUUUUUGAAAAGAAAAUUAAUAUUAUAAAUAAAAAUUCGUUUUUGAUUAUAUAAAAUAUGUUUUAAGAUAACAACACAAUGUAAAAUUUAUCUUUUUGAAAAAAAAAUUAAUAUUAUAAAUAAAAAUUCGUUUUUGAUUAUAUAGUUAAUUAUAUACAAAUUCAUUAAGGGUAGUAUAGCUAUUAACCGCUUUAACUUUUAAUGUGAGAGCUCCGUUGCAAAAAUUUACUUCGCAAAUAAUAGUACAGAUUCAAGAGUCUAAGGUAAAUACCUUUUUGAAUACACAUCAAACACGGUUCUGAGAAAAAAAUAACUUCAUUUACUUAGUCCAAUAGUCUGUAAUUUUUUAAAAAGUUUGUUCUUUAUUGAUAUAGUUAAACUAAGCAAACCACUAAAUAGAAAGUAAAUACUAACUUUUUAAAAUUUUAUUAGUUAGAAAAUAAUAUAAUUUCUAAAAUGAAUAGUAAAAUAAAUAGUUUUUUUUUGUCACUGAGUAAAAUAAAUAGUUAAAAUUGUUGUAAAAAGUUAUAAAAGUCAAUGCUACUUUAAGUUAAAAAUAAAUUAAUAUUUUUAAAAAUUGUAUUAUUAAUUUAUUUACUCGCCCGCCCGUAGGGCGGGUUUACCCUAGUAUUAGUAAUUUUCAAUCAAUCUGUUGAAUGUUGAGUUGAAUAUAUAUACAUCUAGAUUUAUGGAAAGAAAAAAGAAAUAUAUUAUGCAGCUAUGAAUAAAAUACAUGUUUCCUAAUCCCUUAUAUACUAAAGCACAAGUCACCUAACAAAUCAGAAUUUGACAUGUGGAAAAUGUUUUAAGAAAAAAUUGAUUAAAAUAAAUUUCUCAUCAACCCCUAAUUUUCAGCAACUUUAUCCUAUUUUUUCUCAAAAUAUCACAUCCACGUUUAUAGUUAAAUGAUCAUGACUUCAAACUGUUUAUUUUGCCUAUAUAAACUCUGAUCUAAUGAUUUACUUUGUGCUUUCUUUUCCCUUAUUUUUAUCAAUCUCCAUUAUCCAUUUUCAUAUCUACGGUUAGGGUUCAUGAUCUUUUUUUUUGCAGCAAUUCAAAGCUUUUAUUAUUUAUCACAUGGAUUAAUAUCUAGAAAUCCAUUAUCGACAAGAUUUUAGAUCGAUACAGUGGAAUUAUGGCAAGAUACGUGUACAUUGAUUUUGAAGAGAUUCUAUUUUUGACUAUUACAAUAACUUAGAAACUUUCUCAAUCUAAUGAUUUACAGACUCUUGAAGCAAUAGUUUUGAGAGAUGUGAAGGAGCAUAAUAAAAAAAAAUUUCGUGGAAAGCCAUGACUACACUCACACGCAGCGAAUUUUCAGUCAGUCAAAGGGGACAAAUGGAAGCAUCAGGUUUUGGCAUGACAGAAAAGGUUUUACCUAUUUUUUACUCCUUAAUAUUGUUGCUUAAUUAAUGUUUCUUUUGUUGAAUCAAUUACUUUUCAGCAAUCACCACUUCAAUUGAGUUCGACCAUAAAACUACAACGGACGUAUCAUGGAGCUUUUUCUUUUCGGAAUACAAAGGUGAAUUUACUUUAAUUAAUAUUUAUUGUAGCUGGAAUUUAAUCAUUUAUUGCUGGACAAUUCAUUGUAGCUCAGUAAAAAUCAAAGAAAUGUUGUAAUUUUAAUUUUAUAAAUUCAACAAACUAUUAAAAUAAAUAUUACGGGUUAAUUAUGUUCAAAUGUUUGCUUUAUAAAAAUAUAUGUUAGGUAAAUUAACAUAAAAUGUCGGUGAUCUCUUAUUGAAUAAUAAAUAUUUAAACUACAAACAUGUAUCAUUUUAUAUUAAUAUGCUAAUUUUUUACCCCUUCAAUCUCUUUGUUUCCGUGCAGUUACUUCUAAAAUUAUGUGCCACUGUUCAUAUAAUAUUUUAAAGUAAUAUUUAUUUUAAUUACAAUUAUGUCAGCGAUCAAAUAAUUUUUAAAACAGCAAAUUAACCCAUGCAUAGCAUGGGGGUAACACUAGUAGUCCCUAAAUUAGAGGAAAUAUAUCAAGAACAAUAUCAAUUUCUUUUAGUAACUUUCAUUCCUUAUAUACUAAAGCGCAAGUCACCUGACGAAUCAGAUAUUGCCAUGUGGAAAAGUUUUAGAUACAAAUUUAAAAAACAAUUGAUAUGUGGAAAAGUUUUCAAAAACAAUAAAACAAAACAAUUGAAUUUUUCUCUCACACGCCAAGUUUUAUUAAAACUAAAUUUUCUUUUCUCCUACUUCUCUGCAAUGUAAAUCUUCAACUACCUAUAUAUUUCUAUUUGUUUUUAAAAAACUCACGUUAACUUAUAUUUUUUGAACUAUUUUAUUUUCUCCUACAUAAAUUAAUCUACUUUCUUCUUCUAUAUAUUGUAUCUGUGACACAAGUAUCGUAUCUUCAAAGGUAAGACUUUAAAUUUUGACAAUUUACGAUUAAGAAUUCAAGGUUAGUGUUUCUCUAAAUUGUGCUCAGGGCAAAGCUUUACAUAAAACAAAAAAUCAUUGCAUUCUUGCAUCGUGUCUACGGCACAUAAUAAAAAAAAAAGUAAGAGUUCCAUUGUUAUGGAUCUUAGUUUUCCUGCAACGAUAAUAUAUGUCACGUUUUUACGAAGAACUACUUUCACCCAUGUGCACCGUAAUCAAUUAUUAUUAAUACCUUUUCUACGCUUAUUAAUAUGAAUUUUGAUAUCAAUUUUUCUACGAGUUUUUGUCAAUUAUAUUUUAUAAAAUCUUAUAUAUAUUUGCUAUAAAUUAAUUUAAUAAUAAAAAGAGAAAAACAUGGAUAACUAUCCACGUUUUUAUCACACAAAGUAAUUUCCUAAUUAUUCUCAACUUACCACCAUCAUCACACGAUCAACCAUGAAGUUAGUUUACAUAUUAUUUUUUCUUGAACAAAGUUAGUUUAUAUAUUAUUUUCUUUCUCUUUUUUGCCAUCAAUUCAUCUCUCUUUUUUCACCAUCGUUUCAUCUCUCUCUCUUUUCACUAUCGUCAAUUCUAAAACCUCUGCUGCAGGUUUAUGUUUUGUUUUCUAUCAAUUUUCUUAGAAUAAUUAUUCUCUUCUUCUCUAAUAAAUAAUCCUUCUCUCUUUGUGCAGAACUCAGGUUGAAGAUGCCAUUCAAUUCAUCUAAAAAAAUGGAAAAUCAGAGUGCGCUCUCUCAGAUCUGGGACUACUAUCCCAAACAUAAACUUGAAGUUUUUCUCGGGAUGAAAGCUAUCCUAAUGGAUGAAAAGUGAAGAUGUCAAUUGAAUUUUCCCAGCUUAGUUCUUCAAAAAAACGAAUAUAAAUCAAAGCAUUGUCAACAACAGCUGAGGUAAUAAUAAGUUUUUACAGACUCUGUUAUAUAAAUGAUUUAAAAGUAGAUUAUUACUUUUUUUCUUUGACUAACAAAAAAGAGAUUAUUUACUUACAAAUCUGUUUUUUUUUUGCUCAAUAGCUUAUUCUUAGGAAGAAAAAAUAGACAACCGACGUGAUUAUUUUGAUAUUUUCUUUCAGAAAACUUUCAAUCUUUUUGAGUUGAAUUUUAUUCAGAGAGAAGUUUUGGUUAUUAUGUUUAUUAUAGGGCAAAAGAAAGGCUAGGUCAUCUGCUUACCACUUUACCACUGAAUAACGUGAAAAUGACAUAGGUAACUAGAUUAAUGUCAAUUGUUAAUAAAACUCUUUUAGUUAAUCAUAAUAACUAUUAUGCAAAUUAUCACUCUUUUGUCUUAUAUGUUGACGUCAUUUUACAUGUUAUAGUACUGUUAAUCAAUUUACUUUUUUUUUUUGAAAAAACUAUUAAUCGAUUUACAUUCAUGCACUUUUCUGUUAUAUAGUGCUAAGAUACAUGUGAUUUUCUUAAAUAUAUUUUUUUUGUUAUUAGAUUUGCAGAUUUAUCUGCAGAUGAAGAUAGUAGCAUUCAAAAGGAAAAUAGUUGUUUAAGACGGAUAAAUAUUAGAUUAACAAGAGGAAAGUAAUAAUCUAUCAAAUAAAAUGUGUUAAUUGUAUAACUAAUAAGAUUUUAAAGCUAUUUGGAUUAGUUUUUUAGUUUCUUUAGUUACGUGUAUCUUUUUGUUAUUAAAGUCAAUUAUUUUGUUUGUCAAUAUAUAAUUUCAAAAUAACAGUUAACUAAAAUUGAUUUAGUGCAUGUAACACUUUAGCCUUUGACUGCAUAUGUAAAUGUAAUUGUUUUCUCUUCUAAUAAAAAGCAUUUAUUUUAUUUUGCAACAUAUAUAGAAAGGAAUUAGUCACCCGCGCAUUUGCGCGGGCAAAUAUCUAGUAGAUAAUAAUUCAAAAUAGAAGUUAAAAUAUAAACAUUUACAAAAUAAUUAUUGAUAGAACUAAAAGAAAGACAAAAUUAUCAUUCAAGUUUUUAAAAUCUAAAAUCUACUUCAGAAAUUUUAAACCAUAAACCAAAAGAUCAAAAAUCUAUUUUUAAAAC